This 309-nucleotide ribosomal RNA is filed under the name Salmonella enterica subsp. enterica serovar Enteritidis. RNAcentral's name for it is "partial 23S ribosomal RNA". It matches the Rfam family "Bacterial large subunit ribosomal RNA", at positions 1271 to 1581 of the family's 2925-position model. Lineage: Bacteria; Pseudomonadati; Pseudomonadota; Gammaproteobacteria; Enterobacterales; Enterobacteriaceae. The record is from RNAcentral.
UGCUGGAGGUAUCAGAAGUGCGAAUGCUGACAUAAGUAACGAUAAAGCGGGUGAAAAGCCCGCUCGCCGGAAGACCAAGGGUUCCUGUCCAACGUUAAUCGGGGCAGGGUGAGUCGACCCCUAAGGCGAGGCCGAAAGGCGUAGUCGAUGGGAAACGGGUUAAUAUUCCCGUACUUGGUGUUACUGCGAAGGGGGGACGGAGAAGGCUAUGUUGGCCGGGCGACGGUUGUCCCGGUUUAAGCGUGUAGGUGUGUGUUCCAGGUAAAUCCGGUUCACUUUAACACUGAGGCGUGACGACGAGGCACUACG